Molecule: transfer RNA, 88 nt
Filed under: Thermotogota bacterium
Lineage: Bacteria; Thermotogati; Thermotogota
Also listed under: 1 other name
Description: tRNA-Ser
Rfam family: tRNA
About the family: Transfer RNA (tRNA) molecules are approximately 80 nucleotides in length. Their secondary structure includes four short double-helical elements and three loops (D, anti-codon, and T loops).
Source: RNAcentral
GGAGACGUGUCCGAACUGGCUAAGGGGCCGGUCUUGAAAACCGGUGGAGCCAUGCUCCGUGUGGGUUCGAAUCCCACCGUCUCCGCCA